UGCCCAUUGGCCCAGUGGUUAAGGCGUCUGACUGUACUUCCAGUAUAAAAUUAAACAGAAGAAUCAGAAGAUCCCUGGUUCGACCCCAGGAUGGGCAG
Molecule: non-coding RNA, 98 nt
Organism: Annulohypoxylon moriforme
Lineage: Eukaryota; Fungi; Ascomycota; Sordariomycetes; Xylariales; Hypoxylaceae
Source: the annotation of a GenBank genome assembly